This 83-nucleotide transfer RNA is filed under the name Pseudomonadota bacterium. Its description in RNAcentral is "tRNA-Leu". It matches the Rfam family "tRNA". From Rfam's summary of the family: Transfer RNA (tRNA) molecules are approximately 80 nucleotides in length. Lineage: Bacteria; Pseudomonadati; Pseudomonadota. RNAcentral also lists the same sequence under 1 other name. The record is from RNAcentral.
GGGGAAGUGGCGGAAGUGGCAGACGCGCAUGACUUAGGAUCAUGUGGAGCGAUUCCGUGUGGGUUCGAGUCCCACCUUCCCCA